Molecule: ribosomal RNA, 744 nt
Filed under: Priestia megaterium
Lineage: Bacteria; Bacillati; Bacillota; Bacilli; Caryophanales; Bacillaceae
Description: bacterial SSU rRNA
Rfam family: Bacterial small subunit ribosomal RNA
Source: RNAcentral
UGCAAGUCGAGCGGGCUGAUUUAAAUCGUGUCUUCUAUGUCGUUGCCGGCGGGCGGGUGUGCUCACGUGUCUGACCUGUCUGGGGGACUGGGACUCUUCAGGGAACCUAUCUAAUACCGGUCCUGAUCUUCACCUUCAUGGACCUUGAUUGCUUGAUGGUUUCGGCUAUCCCUUACAGAUGGACCCACGUGGCGUUAUCUAGGUGGUGAGGUAACAGCUCACCUAGGGAACCUUACAUGAUCAACCUGCGAGGGUGAUCUGACACACUGGCCCUGCUCCUCCGGCCAGACUCCUACGGGAGGCAGCAAUAAUGAAUCUUCCCCUGUGCACGAAAUGCUGACUGAGCAACGACGCGUGUUUGAUUAAGGCUUUCUUUUCGUAAAACUCUGGUGUCCGGGAAGAACACUCUCGAAAGUUGCUGCUCGCUCCUUGACUGUACCUCACCUAACUGUCACGGCUAACUACCUGCCAUCCACCGCGGGCAUGCGUAAGUGGCAUGUGCUGUCCGUAAUUAUUGGGCGUAAAGCGCGCUCAGGCGGAUGCUUAAUUCUGAUGCUUAAGCCCACGAAUUCAAUCGUGUACUGUCAUUGGAAACUGUGGAACUUGAUUGCAGAAUACCAGGUGUGAAUUCCACAAUGUAGCAGAGAAAUGCGUAAAGAUGUAUGAGCGAACACCAGUCAUCGUAGGGCUGCUUCUGUGGUCUGAAACUCGACACUGAUGGCGCAGCAAGACGUGGAGUAGCAA